This 239-nucleotide ribosomal RNA is filed under the name uncultured bacterium. Its description in RNAcentral is "partial 16S ribosomal RNA". It matches the Rfam family "Bacterial small subunit ribosomal RNA", at positions 95 to 334 of the family's 1533-position model. The record is from RNAcentral.
CCGGCGCACGGGUGAGUAACACGUAUCCAACCUGCCGUCUACUCUUGGACAGCCUUCUGAAAGGAAGAUUAAUACAAGAUGGCAUCAUGAGUCCACAUGUUCACAUGAUUAAAGGUAUUCCGGUAGACGAUGGGGAUGCGUUCCAUUAGAUAGUAGGCGGGGUAACGGCCCACCUAGUCUUCGAUGGGUAGGGGUUCUGAGAGGAAGGUCCCCCACAUUGGAACUGAGACACGGUCCAA